Molecule: transfer RNA, 86 nt
Filed under: Chloroflexota bacterium
Lineage: Bacteria; Bacillati; Chloroflexota
Description: Chloroflexi bacterium (freshwater metagenome) tRNA-Leu
Rfam family: tRNA
About the family: Transfer RNA (tRNA) molecules are approximately 80 nucleotides in length. Their secondary structure includes four short double-helical elements and three loops (D, anti-codon, and T loops).
Source: RNAcentral
GCCCCGGUGGUGGAAUUGGUAUACACGGCAGUUUGAGGGGCUGUGGACGAAAGUCCGUGCGGGUUCGAGUCCCGCCCGGGGCACCU